CGCGUAGGCGGGGAUGCAAGUCAGAUGUGAAAUCUAUGGGCUUAACCCAUAAACUGCAUUUGAAACUGUAUCUCUUGAGUGUCGGAGAGGUAGACGGAAUUCCUAGUGUAGCGGUGAAAUGCGUAGAUAUCAGGAGGAACACCGGUGGCGAAGGCGGCUAUCUGGACAGAAACUGACGCUGAGGCGCGAAAGCUAGGGGAGCAAACA
This 207-nucleotide ribosomal RNA is filed under the name uncultured bacterium. Its description in RNAcentral is "partial 16S ribosomal RNA". It matches the Rfam family "Bacterial small subunit ribosomal RNA", at positions 568 to 774 of the family's 1533-position model. The record is from RNAcentral.